Molecule: ribosomal RNA, 501 nt
Filed under: uncultured Glomus
Lineage: Eukaryota; Fungi; Glomeromycota; Glomeromycetes; Glomerales; Glomeraceae
Description: SSU rRNA
Rfam family: Eukaryotic small subunit ribosomal RNA
Source: RNAcentral
GCCGCGGUAAUUCCAGCUCCAAUAGCGUAUAUUAAAGUUGUUGCAGUUAAAAAGCUCGUAGUUGAAUUUCGGGAUUAGUACGUUGGUCGUGCCUUNGGUACGUACUGGUGUUACUGNUUCCUACCUUCUGACGAACCAUCAUGUCAUUAAUUUGGUGUGGNGGGGAAUCAGGACUGUUACUUUGAAAAAAUUAGAGUGUUUAAAGCAGGCUCGCGCUUGAAUACAUUAGCAUGGAAUAAUGAAAUAGGACGUUGACCCUAUUUUGUUGGUUUCUAGGAUUGACGUAAUGAUUAAUAGGGAUAGUUGGGGGCAUUAGUAUUCAAUUGUCAGAGGUGAAAUUCUUGGAUUUAUUGAAGACUAACUACUGCGAAAGCAUUUGCCAAGGAUGUUUUCAUUAAUCAAGAACGAAAGUUAGGGGAUCGAAGACGAUCAGAUACCGUCGUAGUCUUAACCAUAAACUAUGCCGACUAGGGAUCGGAUGAUGUUAUUUUUAAUGACUCA